ACGAACGCUGGCGGCGUGCCUAAUACAUGCAAGUAGAACGCUGAAGGCGGAGCUUGCUUCUCUGGAUGAGUUGCGAACGGGGGAGUAACGCGUAGGUAACCUGCCUGGUAGCGGGGGAUAACUAUUUGAAACGAUAGCUAAUACCGCAUAAGAGUAGAUGUUGCAUGACAUUUGCUUAAAAGGUGCAAUUGCAUCACUACCAGAUGGACCUGCGUUGUAUUAGCUAGUUGGUGGGGUAACGGCCCACCAAGGCGACGAUACAUAGCCGACCGGCGAGGGUGAUCGGCCCCCCUGGGACUGGGACACGGCCCAGACUCCUUCGGGGGGCAGCAGUAGGGAAUCUUCGGCAAUGGACGGAAGUCUGACCGAGCAACGCCGCGGGAGUGAAGAAGGUUUUCGGAUCGUAAAGCUCUGUUGUAAGAGAAGAACGAGUGUGAGAGUGGAAAGUUCACACUGUGACGGUAUCUUACCAGAAAGGGACGGCUAACUACGUG
RNAcentral lists this ribosomal RNA (494 nucleotides) under uncultured bacterium. Its description in RNAcentral is "partial 16S ribosomal RNA". It matches the Rfam family "Bacterial small subunit ribosomal RNA", at positions 29 to 507 of the family's 1533-position model. The record is from RNAcentral.